Capsicum annuum is the source of this 107-nucleotide non-coding RNA. Lineage: Eukaryota; Viridiplantae; Streptophyta; Magnoliopsida; Solanales; Solanaceae. The record is from Rfam.
UGAUGAUGGUGGGGGAAAAUUCUGAGCAUAGCCUUGAAUAUUUCCCAAGCUUAGUAAAGAUUCUCCCCAUCUUUCUGCCUGAAACUCAAAAUUUCACUUCUCAAACU